This 216-nucleotide ribosomal RNA is filed under the name uncultured bacterium. RNAcentral's name for it is "partial 16S ribosomal RNA". It matches the Rfam family "Bacterial small subunit ribosomal RNA", at positions 125 to 334 of the family's 1533-position model. The record is from RNAcentral.
CCGUAGCCUGGUAGCGGGGGAUAACUAUUGGAAACGAUAGCUAAUACCGCAUAACAGUAGAUAUCGCAUGAUAGCUGCUUGAAAGGUGCAAUUGCACCACUACCAGAUGGACCUGCGUUGUAUUAGCUAGUUGGUGAGGUAACGGCUCACCAAGGCAACGAUACAUAGCCGACCUGAGAGGGUGAUCGGCCACACUGGGACUGAGACACGGCCCAG